AGUGGCGAACGGGUGAGUAAUCCAUAGGAAUUUCCCUCGUAGUAUGGGAUAGCCACUAGAAAUGGUGGGUAAUAAAGUAUAAUCCUUGCGGGGGAAAGAUUUAUCGCUAUUAGAUGAGCAUAUGUUAGAUUAGCUGAAGGUAGGGUAAAGGCCUACCAAGGCAGUGAUCUAUAUCUGGUAGGAGAGGAUGAUCAGCCACAUUGGAACUGAGAUACGGUCCAGACUCAUACGGGAGGCAGCAGUGGGGAAUAUUGGACAAAGGGCGCAAGCAGGAUCCAGGGACACCGCGUGAGUGAGGAAGGCCUUAGGGUUGUAAAACUCUUUCAGUCGGGAUGAUAAUGACGGUACCCACAGAAGAAGUCCCGGCAAACUCUCCUCCAGCAGCCGCGGUAAUGCGGAGGGGGCGAGCGUUGUUCGGGAUUAUG
Molecule: ribosomal RNA, 425 nt
Filed under: Anaplasma platys
Lineage: Bacteria; Pseudomonadati; Pseudomonadota; Alphaproteobacteria; Rickettsiales; Anaplasmataceae
Description: bacterial SSU rRNA
Rfam family: Bacterial small subunit ribosomal RNA
Source: RNAcentral